Molecule: small nucleolar RNA, 253 nt
Filed under: Cicer arietinum (chickpea)
Lineage: Eukaryota; Viridiplantae; Streptophyta; Magnoliopsida; Fabales; Fabaceae
Description: Plant small nucleolar RNA U3
Rfam family: Plant small nucleolar RNA U3
About the family: Small nucleolar RNAs (snoRNAs) are involved in the processing and modification of rRNA in the nucleolus. There are two main classes of snoRNAs: the box C/D class, and the box H/ACA class. U3 snoRNA is a member of the box C/D class.
Source: Rfam by way of RNAcentral
ACGACCUUACUUGAACAGUAUAUGUUCUAUAGGAUCGUACUACUGUGUCCUUGUAUUCUAAGGAGACAUGAACCUAGAUCUGUUUCCUUGUAUUCUAAGGAUACAGGAACCUAGAUCUGGUGGAUGAAUCAUGACCGUGCGAUUAGAGCGUGAUUAACGGUUCUGUGAUGGAAGCUUCAGUGAGCAUUAGUGAGCAUUAGUGAGCAUCAGUGAGCAUUGUAGUUAGUAGUAGAGGAUUGUUCUCUGACAAAUU